CCUACCGGGAAGCAGCAGUGAGGAAUAUUGGUCAAUGGGCGGGAGCCUGAACCAGCCAAGUCGCGUGAGGGAAGAAGGUACAGCGUAUCGUAAACCUCUUUUGUCAGGGAACAAAGGCGGGGACUAGUCCCCGGAUGAGGGUACCUGAAGAAAAAGCAUCGGCUAACUCCGUGCCAGCAGCCGCGGUAAUACGGAGGAUGCGAGCGUUAUCCGGAUUUAGUGGGUUUAAAGGGUGCGCAGGCGGCCUGUUAAGUCAGCGGUAAAAGCCCGGGGCUCAACCCCGGCGAGCCGUUGAAACUAGCGGGCUGGAGUUGGAGAGAAGUAAGCGGAAUGCGCGGUGUAGCGGUGAAAUGCUUAGAUAUAGCGCAGAACCCCGAUUGCGAAGGCAGCGUACCGGCUCCACACUGACGCUGAGGCACGAAAGCGUGGGUAUCGAACAGGAUUAGAUACCCCUGUAGUC
This 460-nucleotide ribosomal RNA is filed under the name uncultured bacterium. RNAcentral describes it as "partial 16S ribosomal RNA". It matches the Rfam family "Bacterial small subunit ribosomal RNA", at positions 338 to 795 of the family's 1533-position model. The record is from RNAcentral.